Molecule: ribosomal RNA, 587 nt
Filed under: uncultured bacterium
Lineage: Bacteria
Description: bacterial SSU rRNA
Rfam family: Bacterial small subunit ribosomal RNA
Source: RNAcentral
CCUACGGGAGGCAGCAGUAGGGAAUCUUCCGCAAUGGACGAAAGUCUGACGGAGCAACGCCGCGUGAACGAUGAAGGCCUUCGGGUCGUAAAGUUCUGUUGUUAGGGAAGAACAAGUGCUAGUUAAAUAAGCUGGCACCUUGACGGUACCUAACCAGAAAGCCACGGCUAACUACGUGCCAGCAGCCGCGGUAAUACGUAGGUGGCAAGCGUUGUCCGGAAUUAUUGGGCGUAAAGCGCGCGCAGGCGGUUUCUUAAGUCUGAUGUGAAAGCCCCCGGCUCAACCGGGGAGGGUCAUUGGAAACUGGGAAACUUGAGUGCAGAAGAGGAAAGUGGAAUUCCAAGUGUAGCGGUGAAAUGCGUAGAGAUUUGGAGGAACACCAGUGGCGAAGGCGACUUUCUGGUCUGUAACUGACGCUGAGGCGCGAAAGCGUGGGGAGCAAACAGGAUUAGAUACCCUGGUAGUCCACGCUGUAAACGAUGAGUGCUAAGUGUUAGAGGGUUUCCGCCCUUUAGUGCUGAAGUUAACGCAUUAAGCACUCCGCCUGGGGGGUACGUCGCAAGACUGAAACUUAANGAAAUUGACGG